RNAcentral lists this transfer RNA (71 nucleotides) under Staphylinidae sp. BMNH 1274257. Its description in RNAcentral is "tRNA-Trp". Lineage: Eukaryota; Metazoa; Arthropoda; Insecta; Coleoptera; Staphylinidae. The record is from RNAcentral.
AAGGAUUUAAGUUAACCUUAAACUAAUAGUCUUCAAAACUUUAAAUAAAGAAAAAUUAUCUUUAAGCCUUA